Molecule: ribosomal RNA, 161 nt
Filed under: uncultured bacterium
Lineage: Bacteria
Description: partial 16S rRNA
Rfam family: Bacterial small subunit ribosomal RNA
Source: RNAcentral
GGAAUCUUCCACAAUGGGCGAAAGCCUGAUGGAGCAACGCCGCGUGUGUGAUGAAGGGUUUCGGCUCGUAAAACACUGUUGUAAGAGAAGAAUGACGUUGAGAGUAACUGUUCAAUGUGUGACGAUAUCUUACCAGAAAGGAACGGCUAAAUACGUGCCAG